Molecule: ribosomal RNA, 300 nt
Filed under: uncultured bacterium
Lineage: Bacteria
Description: bacterial SSU rRNA
Rfam family: Bacterial small subunit ribosomal RNA
Source: RNAcentral
AAUGAACGCUGGCGGCGUGCUUAACACAUGCAAGUCGAGCGAGAAAGCUCUUCGGAGUUAGUAAAGUGGCGAACGGGUGAGUAACGCGUGAGAAUUUGCCUUUCAGUAAGGGAUACCUCCGAGAAAUCGGGGCUAAUACUGUAUAAGCUCAGCUUGCUGAGGAAAGAUGGCCUCUUGCUAUCGCUGAAAGAUAAGCUUGCGUCCUAUUAGCUUGUUGGUGGGGUAACUGCCUACCAAGGCUCAGAUGGGUAGCCGGCCUGAGAGGGUGUACGGCCACAUUGGGACUGAGAUACGGCCCAG